RNAcentral lists this ribosomal RNA (1432 nucleotides) under uncultured organism. Its description in RNAcentral is "16S ribosomal RNA". It matches the Rfam family "Bacterial small subunit ribosomal RNA". The record is from RNAcentral.
GCUUAACACAUGCAAGUCGAGGGGCAUGAGGAAGAAAGCUUGCUUUCUUUGCUGGCGACCGGCGCACGGGUGAGUAACACGUAUCCAACCUGCCCUUUACUCGGGGAUAGCCUUUCGAAAGAAAGAUUAAUACCCGAUGGCAUAAUGAUUCCGCAUGGUUUCAUUAUUAAAGGAUUCCGGUAAAGGAUGGGGAUGCGUUCCAUUAGGUUGUUGGUGAGGUAACGGCUCACCAAGCCUUCGAUGGAUAGGGGUUCUGAGAGGAAGGUCCCCCACAUUGGAACUGAGACACGGUCCAAACUCCUACGGGAGGCAGCAGUGAGGAAUAUUGGUCAAUGGGCGCUAGCCUGAACCAGCCAAGUAGCGUGAAGGAUGAAGGCUCUAUGGGUCGUAAACUUCUUUUAUAUAAGAAUAAAGUGCAGUAUGUAUACUGUUUUGUAUGUAUUAUAUGAAUAAGGAUCGGCUAACUCCGUGCCAGCAGCCGCGGUAAUACGGAGGAUCCGAGCGUUAUCCGGAUUUAUUGGGUUUAAAGGGAGCGUAGGUGGACUGGUAAGUCAGUUGUGAAAGUUUGCGGCUCAACCGUAAAAUUGCAGUUGAUACUGUCAGUCUUGAGUACAGUAGAGGUGGGCGGAAUUCGUGGUGUAGCGGUGAAAUGCUUAGAUAUCACGAAGAACUCCGAUUGCGAAGGCAGCUCACUGGACUGCAACUGACACUGAUGCUCGAAAGUGUGGGUAUCAAACAGGAUUAGAUACCCUGGUAGUCCACACAGUAAACGAUGAAUACUCGCUGUUUGCGAUAUACAGUAAGCGGCCAAGCGAAAGCAUUAAGUAUUCCACCUGGGGAGUACGCCGGCAACGGUGAAACUCAAAGGAAUUGACGGGGGCCCGCACAAGCGGAGGAACAUGUGGUUUAAUUCGAUGAUACGCGAGGAACCUUACCCGGGCUUAAAUUGCAGUGGAAUGAUGUGGAAACAUGUCAGUGAGCAAUCACCGCUGUGAAGGUGCUGCAUGGUUGUCGUCAGCUCGUGCCGUGAGGUGUCGGCUUAAGUGCCAUAACGAGCGCAACCCUUAUCUUCAGUUACUAACAGGUCAUGCUGAGGACUCUGGAGAGACUGCCGUCGUAAGAUGUGAGGAAGGUGGGGAUGACGUCAAAUCAGCACGGCCCUUACGUCCGGGGCUACACACGUGUUACAAUGGGGGGUACAGAAGGCAGCUAGCGGGUGACCGUAUGCUAAUCCCAAAAUCCUCUCUCAGUUCGGAUCGAAGUCUGCAACCCGACUUCGUGAAGCUGGAUUCGCUAGUAAUCGCGCAUCAGCCACGGCGCGGUGAAUACGUUCCCGGGCCUUGUACACACCGCCCGUCAAGCCAUGGGAGCCGGGGGUACCUGAAGUACGUAACCGCAAGGAUCGUCCUAGGGUAAAACUGGUGACUGGGGC